Molecule: long non-coding RNA, 1586 nt
Organism: Oncorhynchus tshawytscha (Chinook salmon)
Lineage: Eukaryota; Metazoa; Chordata; Actinopteri; Salmoniformes; Salmonidae
Source: Ensembl
CUUUCCGUUCACCUUCACACUCCUGGGCCAGACUACACUCAAUCAUAUGACCCACUGAAGAGAUGAGUCUUAAGACUUAAAGGUUGAAACCGAGUUUGCGUCUCUCACAUGGGUAGGCAGACCAUUCCAUAACAAUUGAGCUCUAUAGGAGAAAGCCCUGCCUCCAGCUGUUUGCUUAGAAAUUCUAGGGACAAUUAGGAGGCCUGUGUCUUGUGACCGUAGCGUACAUGUAGGUAUGUACGGCAGGACCAAAUCAGAGAGAUAGGUAGGAGCAAGCCCAUGUAAUGCUUUGUAGGUUAGCAGUAAAACCUUGAAAUCAGCCCUUGCCUUGACAGGAAGCCAGUGUAGCGAGGCUAGCACUGGAGUAAUAUGAUACAUUUUUUUGGUUCUAGUCAGGAUUAUAGCAGCCGUAUUUAGCACUAACUGAAGUUUAUUUAGUGCUUUAUCCAGGUAGCCGGAAAGUAGAGCAUUGCUGUAGUCUAAAUUAGAACUAACAAAAGCAUGGAUGAAUUUUUCUGCAUCAUUUUUGGACAGAACAUUUCUGAUUUUUGCAAUGUUACGUAGACAGAAAAAAGCUGUCCUUUGAAACAGUCUUGAUAUGUUCGUCAAAAGAGAGAUCAGGGUCCAGAGUAACGCCGAGGUCCUUCACAGUUUUAUUUGAGAUGACUGUACAACCGUUAAGAUUAAUUGUCAGAUUCAACAGAAGAUCUCUUUGUUUCUUGGGACCUAGAACAAGCAUCUCUGUUUUGUCCGAGUUUAAAAGUAGAAAGUUUGCAGCCAUCCACUUCCUUAUGUCUGAAACACAGGCUUCUAGCGAGGGCAAUUUUGGGGCUUCACCAUGUUUAAUUGAAAUGCACAGCUGUGUGUCAUCCGCAUAGCAGUGAAAAUUAACAUUAUGUUUUCGAAUGACAUCCCCAAGAGGUAAAAUAUAUAGUGAAAACAAUAGUGGCCCUAAAAUGGAACCUUGAGGAACACCGAAAUUUACAGUUGAUUUGUCAGAGGACAAACCAUUCACAGAGACAAACUGAUAUCUUUCCGACAGAUAAGAUCUAAACCAGGCCAGAACUUGUCCGUGUAGACCAAUUUGGGUUUCCAAUCUCUCCAAAAGAAUGUGGUGAUCAAUGGUAUCAAAAGCAGCACUAAGGUCUAGGAGCACGAGGACAGAUGCAGAGCCUCGGUCUGAUGCCAUUAAAAGGUCAUUUACCACCUUCACAAGUGCAGUCUCAGUGCUAUGAUGGGGUCUAAAACCAGACUGAAGCAUUUCGUAUACAUUGUUUGUCUUCAGGAAGGCAGUGAGUUGCUGCGCAACAGCCUUUUCUAAAAUUUUUGAGAGGAAUGGAAGAUUCGAUUUAGGCUGAUAGUUUUUUAUAUUUUCUGGGUCAAGGUUUGGCUUUUUCAAGAGAGGCUUAAUUACUGCCACUUUUGGUGAGUUUGGUACACAUCCGGUGGAUAGAGAGCCGUUUAUUAUGUUCAACAUAGGAGGGCCAAGCACAGGAAGCAGCUCUUUCAGUAAUUUAGUUGGAAUAGGGUCCAGUAUGCAGCUUGAAGGUUUAGAGGCCAUGAUUAUUUUCAUCAUUGUGUCAAGA